ACUUCCGGUACGGGAAACUCCAGACUGCGGCUUCGCCGGGCUUGACAGGCGCGGUCCGUGCCGGCGGCGUGCGUUCCUCACUUCGCUCGGCCUCCGGGUCGCCGUUCCGCCGCCCCUUUCUCGACUCUCCGCUUCCCUAUGUUCCGGAGCCGGAGUCCGGGAAGCAAAGACCCUCUUGCCCAGUCCCCAUCAUGUCCGAAGUGACCAAAGAGCUGCUGGAGCUGGUAUGGGGCACCAAGAGCAGCCCCGGGCUGUCGGACACCAUCUUCUGCCGCUGGACGCAAGGGUUUGUGUUUAGUGAAUCAGAGGGAUCUGCAUUAGAACAGUUUGAAGGUGGCCCCUGUGCUGUUAUUGCACCUGUUCAGGCAUUUCUUUUGAAGAAGCUUCUGUUUUCCUCUGAGAAGUCGUCCUGGCGGGAUUGCUCAGAGGAAGAGCAGAAGGAGCUCCUCUGUCAUACCUUAUGUGAUAUUUUAGAAAGUGCUUGUGACAGCUCUGGAUCCUACUGCUUGGUUUCAUGGUUAAGAGGAAGGACAACCGAGGAAACGGCUAGUGUUGCUGAGAGUCCUGCACAGGCUAGUUGCCGAGUGGAGCAUUCUUCUGCCUUGGCUGUCGAAGAGCUUGGCUUUGAGCGAUUUCAUGCAUUAAUUCAAAAAAGAUCAUUCAGAACUGUAUCAGAAUUAAAAGAUGCUGUCUUGGACCAGUAUUCAAUGUGGGGAAACAAAUUUGGAGUCUUGCUUUUUCUCUAUUCUGUAUUACUGACAAAGGGCAUUGAAAAUAUAAAGAAUUCAAUUGAAGAUGCAAAUGAGCCUUUGAUAGACCCUGUGUACGGGCAUGGCAGCCAAAGCUUAAUUAACCUCCUACUGACGGGACAUGCAGUUUCUAAUGUUUGGGAUGGUGAUAGAGAGUGCUCAGGAAUGCAACUUCUCGGUAUCCAUGAACAAGCAGCUGUAGGAUUCUUAACAUUAAUGGAAGCAUUACGAUAUUGUAAGGUUGGUUCUUACUUGAAAUCUCCAAAAUUCCCUAUUUGGAUUGUUGGCAGCGAAACUCACCUCACCGUGUUUUUUGCCAAGGAUAUGGCUUUAGUUGCCCCCGAGGCGCCUUCUGAGCAAGCCAGAAGAGUUUUUCAAACCUAUGAUCCAGAAGAUAAUGGAUUCAUAGCUGACUCCCUUCUAGAAGAUUUGAUGAAAGCCUUGGACCUUGUUUCAGAUCCCGAGUAUAUAAAUCUCAUGAAGAACAAAUUAGAUCCAGAAGGAUUAGGAAUCAUAUUAUUGGGUCCAUUUCUUCAAGAAUUUUUUCCUGAGCAGGGCUCCAGUGGUCCAGAAUCUUUUACUGUCUACCACUACAAUGGAUUGAAGCAGUCAAAUUAUAAUGAAAAGAUGAGGCCUCUGAGACAGGGAGAUUAAGUGACUCACCCAGAGUCACACAGCAAGUCAUUGACAGAGCAGGGAUUGGAACUGAGUUCCUGAUUCCCAAUCCUGUCCUUGGUCUGCUUGGCCACGCUACCUGUAUAUAGUAAUGUAUGUGGAAGGGACUGCCGUGGUUAUGGGUUUUGAAGACCCCAUGCUACAAACAGAUGACACUCCUAUUAAACGCUGUCUCCAAACCAAAUGGCCAUACAUUGAGUUACUGUGGACCACAGAGCGCUCUCCUUCACUCAAUUGAGUUGCCUGAGUAUUUAGAAGGAAGAUUAUAAAAACGGGUGUUGAAGGGGGGUUCACGACUGGCAACAUUAAGCUAAACACUGGUAUUGUUGAUUAACUGUAAAUAACAAUUAAAAACACACUUUCAGUGUUUAAGAUAUGUUUAAAUUAUUUGUUCUAAAGCUUUAUGUUAAAGGUUAUCCUAUUUUAAUCCUUUCUAUGAAAUUUACUAGCAAAAUUAAGCUUUAAUUAAAGUUCAUCACUUCUUCAGUCAAGUAAUUGGUUGUUACUUACCAGAUUAUAAACACAAUAUUACAGCAUUUUUAUAAUGAGACUCAGUCACAAAAACCUGCCUGGAACCUCAUUUCAUUCCGAUUCAUUUUAUUGUAUUAUUUUUAGUAGCCUUCACACCAAAUGUGCAGAAGUUAAUUUUUGUUUUCAUUGCUAAAAUCUGUUUUCCAUGAGGAAUACUAAUAAAUAACAAAUUAUCAGCCCUGGUCCUUUGGUAAAUAAUUUAACUCUAGCAUGUUUACAGAAAAUGGAACCUAUGUGGGAACUUUCCAUUUGUUCACAGGUGCAUAGGGAUGUGUUUUUACAAUGAUGGAGAGAAUGUUUGCUCGGAGCUCCUAACUGUAACUUUCACUGUAUUGCUAAGUACACUUCUCCACCUUUGUUCCUUCAAGCCAGCUUCCUUGUAUAUUUAUAAGCAUGGUAAAUGCAUGAGAACAGCUGUUGUUACAUUAGCAUAUGGCAUUAUUUAUUAUGAUCCCAGUUAAUACCAUAAAUAAAGACUUUUUUUCUUUAACUACA
Molecule: RNA transcript, 2450 nt
Organism: Onychomys torridus (southern grasshopper mouse)
Lineage: Eukaryota; Metazoa; Chordata; Mammalia; Rodentia; Cricetidae
Gene: Mindy3
Gene name: MINDY lysine 48 deubiquitinase 3
Exons: 16
Source: RefSeq, a predicted model, not a curated record